GAUGAACGCUGGCGGCGUGCCUAAUACAUGCAAGUCGAGCGAACAGACGAGGAGCUUGCUUCUCUGACGUUAGCGGCGGACGGGUGAGUAAAACGUGGAGAACCUACCUAUAAGACUGGGAUAAAUUCGGGAAACCGGAGCUUAUACCGGAAUAUCUAUUGAACCCCAUGGUUCAAUAGUGAAAGACGGUUUUGCUGCCACUUAUAGAUGGAUCCGCGCCGCAUUAGCUAGUUGGUAAGGUAACGGCUUACCAAGGCAACGAUGCGUAGCCGACCUGAGAGGGUGAUCGGCCACACUGGAACUGAGACACGGUCCAGACUCCUACGGGAGGCAGCAGUAGGGAAUCUUCCGCAAUGGGCGAAAGCCUGACGGAGCAACGCCGCGUGAGUGAUGAAGGUCUUCGGAUCGUAAAACUCUGUUAGUAGGGAAGAACAAAUGUGUAAGUAACUAUGCACGUAUUGACGGUACCUAAUCAGAAAGCCACGGCUAACUACGUG
Molecule: ribosomal RNA, 497 nt
Filed under: uncultured bacterium
Lineage: Bacteria
Description: partial 16S ribosomal RNA
Rfam family: Bacterial small subunit ribosomal RNA
Source: RNAcentral